AGUCUUCUUGUGCACCUUCUGCUUGCCUCCAUAGCUGCUACCUGCUCGAUCAGGAUAAGGGGAAUGCCUCCUUAGUGGAGGAUUUGAGGAGAGGGGCUUUAUCUCUUGGGGACAAGCAGCUCUUGUCCCCUCUCUCAAAGGAAGAACUAGAAGGGAUGGGAGCUCUCUACAUCUUCAAGGCCACCUUUGUUUAUGAGGAACUCUCUUCUAGGUCUCAAGGGGCUCCCUCUAUCCCUACGAACGAUGCCUAGAAGCGAAUAUUGGAGGAUAUAAUAAAGCGCUAGGAAAGUAAGAAUGCCAAACUGAGCAAGACCAAGAAGGAGAUGACGAGCCGCUGCCAACAAUUGGAGAGGGGGUGAGGGAACUGUAGAAGGAGGUAGUCGGUCAUGGGAGCGCAUUGUAGAAGGAGGUGAAGAAGGCAGUGAUGAAUUUUUCUCAUUUUAAGGAGGGCAAGAAUUAUCUAGAGACCUUCCGGGAGAGCCGUAUGAAGGAGUUUAAGAAGUCUGUAGAGUAUGAGUAAGAAGUGAGCAAGAUAAUGGGGCCUUCUUUGAGCAUGGCUUCACAGCCUGCAAAGAACAAUUCCAGGCUCAUGGGUACCCCCUUCCAGGAGUGCGCCCGACCCCUUUGUCGAACCCUCCAUCCUAGGAAAGGGAGUCAUCUCCCUAGAUUCAGAAGGAGAUUUGGCAUAGUGGGAGGUUGAGGCCGAGAUAAGGAGUCCCCCAGAUGAAGCAGCAGUUGAUGUCAUAGUGGGGGAUCCUCAUGGAAAAGUUGGCCUAGAUGAGAAGGAAGAAUGACCUCCUCUGGCCACUGAUCCAACUCCCCCUACCACCCCAAUGCCUACUAUUGAUGCUCCUUCUAAAAAAGAGACAGAAGACUCAACUUGUGGGGAGAAACCUGAUGAUGUAAUGUGACUACCAGUUGGAUGAAACAAUAUUUUCUUUCUAUGCUUUGCUUGCUUUUCCCCCAUUUGAAAUGGGGAUGAGAUGAUUUUAAUUUUCGGUUCUGUCUUGGAUGCUUUCUCUAGUUUGCCCCUGGACACAAUUUUAGGCCAAGGGCUUUGAAAUGCG
Sesamum indicum (sesame) is the source of this 1067-nucleotide non-coding RNA. NCBI's taxonomy places the organism in Eukaryota, Viridiplantae, Streptophyta, Magnoliopsida, Lamiales, Pedaliaceae. The record is from RefSeq and is a predicted model, not a curated record.